RNAcentral lists this long non-coding RNA (213 nucleotides) under Panax ginseng (ginseng). RNAcentral describes it as "long non-coding RNA (PGIN_LNC016903)". The record is from RNAcentral. Lineage: Eukaryota; Viridiplantae; Streptophyta; Magnoliopsida; Apiales; Araliaceae.
AAGGAUGAAGAAUCUGAAUAAGGCUAUACCGAAUCCAAGGGAAACUGUGAAGAAGAAAGAAGACUACGAAGAAGGAAGCAGAUGAUUCUCUGACAUAAUAAGACAAUUCUCUGACAUAUGUGAUUCUCUCCAAGUUUAAUGGCUUGACACCAAAGUUCGAGAGGAAGGUUAGUCACGAGACCAUGCGCCUAGAGUAGCUACGGAACGAGAGAC